UAAGAAAGGAGUUGGAGUUUGAGUUGAAGGAAGAUUGGGGAUAGAUAAAAGAUUUUGAGAGCGAGACUCCCCUUUCCGGACACCAUUUCUCCUCCUGCAUUCUGCUGAUACAGACUCCAUUACCUAUUUGCAUUUUCCUUUCCCAUUUCUAUCUAUUCUCUGUAAUAUAAUAGGAAACUCUUUCUUCUACCAUCCAUUACCUCAUAUCUCCACUUCCAAAUCUAUCAAUUUCAUCUAUUUGAUCUCGCCAGAGACAAUUGAUGCACGUUUUGUGACUUGGGAAAAUCAGCCGACCAGAAAAGCCCAAAGCGCGUUUCCUCGUC
RNAcentral lists this long non-coding RNA (323 nucleotides) under Jatropha curcas. RNAcentral's name for it is "long non-coding RNA (JCUR_LNC001403)". Lineage: Eukaryota; Viridiplantae; Streptophyta; Magnoliopsida; Malpighiales; Euphorbiaceae. The record is from RNAcentral.